RNAcentral lists this long non-coding RNA (857 nucleotides) under Homo sapiens (human). Its description in RNAcentral is "long non-coding RNA NONHSAT130847.2". Lineage: Eukaryota; Metazoa; Chordata; Mammalia; Primates; Hominidae. The record is from RNAcentral.
GGGCGGAGCCCUGCGAACCUUACAGUCGGUUGCUCCCGGCACCAAGGCCGCAGGCGGCGGUCGGUGCAGGGCGCCCCGCUGGCGUAGUAGUCCAUCCCGCGCAGACAGUAGUGGCGGCCCGAGCAAGCACUUUCGUAACCAUGGAAGGGCAGGCGGCCGGGCAGCGGGUCCACGCACCCGCAUCGGGGCGUGAUCCGCGGCAGCUGCUGGUUCCGCGACAGUGAGUUCAGCAUGUUCACCAUCACUUCGCGCUCUGCUCCCGCGGGUCCCCAGCGCAGGAGACCCAAAGACAGAUGCACAGGGAUGGGAAGAGGCCGAGUCACGGACAGAGUGAGGCGGAGACAAAAGCCAGGACGGAUAGAUUCAGGGUUCCACCCUCUCCAGGACCCUCGGCCUCCUCCCCGUCCUUCAGCCUGAAGUCAGUGGCUGGCAUCAGGAAGCAGAACUGGACAUGAAGUGGGGAAGAGCAAGGACAAACUGGAACUCAUGAGGAGAACAAAGUCGAAUUUGCAUCUGUCUCACUGCCUACAACAAUGAUGAUAUGGAUGGCCUUCAGGACAAGCUGGUGCCCUUUGCCAUGGAAUUGUACAUACACCUGGCCCAGGACCCAGAGAGGUUGAAGGAGAUCCAGUGGGAGCUAGAGGGGUUGUAGCCAAAUGCUGCUCUAUGGCAAUAAGGUGAACUACUAAAUCAGCAACAUUGUGCAUAAGGUGCCACAGUGCUUGGUACCCCACGUCAAUCUUCAGAGGGUAAAAAUGGCUGUUCUUUCAUUUAUUCUUUCCAAAUAUCAUGCAGAUUUCUCUCAUGGCCAAUUAGGAAACAUUUAGGAAAGGGAAUUCUUGCAAGUAUAGUUCCAG